GGGGCUGUAGCUCAGUUGGCAGAGCGCUUGCAUGGCAUGCAAGAGGUCACGGGUUCAAAUCCCGUCAGCUCCA
RNAcentral lists this transfer RNA (73 nucleotides) under bacterium. RNAcentral's name for it is "tRNA-Ala". It matches the Rfam family "tRNA". Rfam says of the family: Transfer RNA (tRNA) molecules are approximately 80 nucleotides in length. Their secondary structure includes four short double-helical elements and three loops (D, anti-codon, and T loops). Further hydrogen bonds mediate the characteristic L-shaped molecular structure. tRNAs have two regions of fundamental functional importance: the anti-codon, which is responsible for specific mRNA codon recognition, and the 3' end, to which the tRNAs corresponding amino acid is attached (by aminoacyl-tRNA synthetases). tRNAs cope with the degeneracy of the genetic code in two manners: having more than one tRNA (with a specific anti-codon) for a particular amino acid; and 'wobble' base-pairing, i.e. permitting non-standard base-pairing at the 3rd anti-codon position. The record is from RNAcentral. RNAcentral also lists the same sequence under 1 other name.